Molecule: long non-coding RNA, 2308 nt
Organism: Glycine soja
Lineage: Eukaryota; Viridiplantae; Streptophyta; Magnoliopsida; Fabales; Fabaceae
Exons: 3
Source: RefSeq, a predicted model, not a curated record
UUUGGGGCAUAUUCCAUAUGCUGUUGUCAGGAAACUUGCUGGGAAAUGCAAUAGGGGCUAUGCUUGUACACGAUUGUCCCAUAUUAAUAAUAUUUCUUGGUGCUUAAAGAAAAAAAUCUACUGAUUCUUUGGUGUGGGUUGAUUUUGAUGUGUGGUUUUUACUUUGUUCGCUUUUUUAUUUUAUUGUAGUUGUAGCAGCCAUAACAGUGUUGGUGAGGAGGAAAGAGAAAAGGAGGAGAUAGAGGGGGCAGUGUUGUCACGGGGAUGAGGUAGAUGGAGGGAUAAAUUUGGAAACUUGGAGAAAAGGAGAAGAAAAAAUCACAAACACUGGAUAUAGAAAACUCAUAAAUCUAACGGGCAAUAUUUCUUUCCCACAACGGUGGAUAUAUGUUGUUCAGAAUGAAAGUUACAUUUCGCAGUUUAAACAUUUGCUUUGAGUUCCGUAGUUUACAACUACAACAAGUGAGUGAUAUGGAUUCUUCUGAUCACUCUUACCCAUCAAAUAACCAGCAGUCAGAUUCUUGGUGGGAGGGCAAUCCUUCUGCCAAAAACAAAAAGUGUUUGAUUCCAUAUUCCACUAGAAUUUGGGGGAUUCGUGCUAGGUUAAGAUCAGCAAGCAAGGUUAUUGGAACUAGAAGAAACAUCUGUGAAGACUUACUACCAGAUUUCAGAUUCAGAAUGUUCUCUAAUAGAAGUAGAAUCCCUUCCAACACAAGUUGAUCAUCCUUCUACCUUUGAGCCAGAAAUCACACAUGAAGCAUCUGAAAAGACUGGAGAUUCUGUUGAUGUAGCUGAAAUGGAGCAAGUGAGUGAGGAUGAGAAUCCAAUGGCUGAUCAAUCAACUCAAAUGGAGGGGCACAACGGAUUUGAAGCACAAUUAUCCCUCUUGAGGAGGAACCUUUGGCUGAGUCUACUUCAAAGGUUAGACAAUUAUCCCUCUUGAUACAACGUUUACUUCCAUUCAAUUAAAAAAUCAAUAUUAUUUCUGCUCUCUCUCUCUCUUACAAACCGGCUAUGAGUGGUCUUUUGUCUUGAAGAAGCUAUCUUCUUAGCCUUAUAGAGUCUUAUUUUUUUAUUAAAAAUAUUAAUUAUUAAUUUUUUUUAAUCAAAGGAACCAAACUCAAUUUUUUUUUUCUUUUUUUUAACCACUCAACUAACAUUUUUCAUCUUUCUUAGCCUUAUUGAGACUAGUAGGUAAGUAACAGUAACACUAACAAGAAGUAAGAAUAAGAGGAGUGUCACGUACUCAGAUAGCUGUGUCCAAAACACUUACAAUGGUGCUUUAAUUUCUUGGUGGCUUUUGUGAAAAGUUUCAGGAGUUGCUUAGUCAGUGGUUAAGACAGAUAGAACUGAGGUAGAAACGUAUUCUUAGUUGCCCUGUGCCUGCACCUCUUCUUCCUUGGACUGAUCGUAUCUUCUCACUCUGAUGCACCCACCAACCAGCCAAAGUCUUCGGAGUGCCCUCCUGAGCAGAAACCUUUGGCUGUGUUUGGACAUCCAUUCUCACUUUUCAGCCUCAACCGAACUGAAAUGGACAAGGAAGGUGAUGACGUUAAUUCUGUUGGACAAAGCUCAUCAUUGGACACAGUUGAAGUUGAAGGAUAUCAAGUAAGGCCAGAAUUGGAGUCCAUAGUAAGAAAAUUUCUCGUUAAGCAUGGAGACAUUUUUCAGAAUUGUAUGGUAUCGACAAUGAUAUUCCAUUCAAUGUUAUUGGAGAUGAUAUGUGACAUCAUCUCAGACUUGCAAGACAAUAAUCUCUAUGAAAUCACAGAAGAUAAGCUACAUAGCAUGAUUACUGUUGCAAAUGAUAUGAAAGUGAACAUUGAGUGUCUACACUUGAAAUUGAAAGAGAUUCUUGAGGCAAAGCAGACUCUUGAUCAAUAUGCCAAGCUAGAAGAGAAAAAACAUAUCAGCAAAAAGAUCGUUGAAACUGUCAAGAGACUGCUUGACAGUAAAAUGAAAAUGUAGUGGCAGCAAAGUUCCAAAUAUUAUGUGAUAAAGAGACUGCUUGCAAGGAGUCACUGGUUAGAGCAGAGGAUGAUUAUUCCAAGAUAUCUCAAACUUUCACAGAUGCUAGAUCUAAAGUGAGACAAUUCGCUAAUUGCUCUCUGGCCGAUGGUUUGCUUUAGAUCUGCCAUUUCUUCUCCCCCUUUUUGCUUUCGCUCAUUAUUUGCACAUUGAGCUUUAUCUUGAGUAUGUAUACAUAUGCCACUAUUAUUUAGCUUUGUAAGUUUCUAUUUGAGGUUUACCAAGUGCUGUAGAAAUAUGUUUCAAUUUGUUGAGUAAUGACCAAUUCCACAAAUUAAAA